AUAGACAUAACAGAAUUUUUUGUGCACGCAUUCAAAUACAUAAUGACAACAGAAAACAUCCAGGCAGACAGCAUAAGAGGACUUUUUUUUCUUUUUUCUUUUUCUGAGGAUAUGGUUCACCUAACCCCACCCAAUGUUGUGACUUGAUAGUAUUGAUGUUGACACAAUAAGGUCUUCCCACGUAUUGGCAGAGGCAUGGUCUUUCAUUCCUUCCCCUUCAUAUGUACUCUCUACCAUUUUUCAAAAAAGAAGCAGGAGCUCUCGGUCUCUUUUUUCUCCCAGCAGAAGUGAGCUCUUGAUUUUAGCUUAAGGUGGUGGUUCUUUGCCGGAUUUUUACCCUCUCUCUUGGAAGGUGAUUUGCAAGUCAUGGAGGCUGUUCCUGAGCCUGAAAAACACCCAUAAAUCGAAGAAGAAUCUGCUGAAACGAAGAAGAAGAAGCUGGACAGAUUUCGGCCAAAAAAGGAGUUGUAUUCUUCCGGUUUUAUUUUCUUGUUUUUGCCUUGAAUCUUGUUUGUUGAUUGUUUGUUUUGGUUGAUUGAACUCCUAGGAUCCCCAACAAACUGGUAUCAGAGCUAGGAGGAGUGAUAUUAGUCCAAAAUCGAUCAAAAACCAGCAAGAAAUCGCCAUUACCACAUUCUAACCGAAUCUGAAAAACUUGAUUUCCGGCCAACCUAUUGACUUUCCGGCGAAAUGGACCAUGGAACCAUGACCAGCAGGAGGAGGCGCACCCUGUGGUGGGGCACGUGACCGGCGACGGCGCGUGGCCGAACCUCCGGCGAGCUUUUUUCGGGCAGUUUACUUAUUUUGACGUCCUAAACGCACUGAUGUCGUUUGUUUUCUGUUUCAGAUUUUACAGAAAAUGUUGGAUGAUUUUGCCCCUAGCUUGACGUCUACGGCAAUUUGGUUCAGAAAUUUGGUGGUAUAUUUACUGUUUGUCAACAGUAGUUUGGUAAGAUUAUUCCAAACUCUCCGUUAGGUUAGGUUUGGUAUCCUUACCGGUUUAUGCAUGGUUAUUGCUUGGUUGCUUAUUUGUGAAUUCUGUUGAUUGAAUUCUUGUGAUUAAUUUGUAACCUGGAAGCAUAUUUACCUGCUUUAUAUACCUGUGUUUCGUGAACGGAUUAUUUCACUGUUGUGCUUCAUUUCUAAAAAUUGUUUUUUAAAACUCGGCACUCAGUUUUAUAUUGAUCAUCUGGAAAAGAAUUUUUCAAAACCUUUUUUGUUGUGUCCACGAGUACAGGCCACUCUUUUAUAGAAUCUAUAAUGGGUUCGAGGGUCGAAUUAUCGCAAUUCGAUGGAAAGGGGGAUUACUCGAUAUGGAAACAGAAAAUGAGGGCCAUUUUGGUCCAACAGAGAGUUGCUAAAGCUCUUGAUGAUCCCGCUACUUUUUCUGAUGAGUUAAAAGCUAAAACAACUGAAAUUGAAGACAUGAAUGAAAUUGCUUACAGUUAUAUAAUUUUGCAUCUCUCUGACAAUAUUGUGAGACAAGUUGAUAAUGCUAAAACUGCUAGAGCUUUGUGGAUUGCUUUAGAUGCCCUGUUCUUAACUAAAACUUUACCUAACAAAAUAUACCUGUUGGAGAAGUUGUUUAGUUUUAAGAUGGACCCGGGGAAGGAUGUCGAGGGGAAUUUGAGUGACUUUAGCAUAAUUGUUAAGAGUCUAGCUCAUAAUGAUAAAACAUUUGAUGAUGAGGAUUUAGCUGUCAUAUUGCUAAACUCUUUGCCCGAAUCUUACAGAGAAAUGAAAAAUGCCAUAAAGUAUGGUAGGGACACUCUCACUCAAGCUAUUGUUUCUGAUGCUUUAAAAUCAAGAGAACUUGAAUUAAAAAGAGAGAACAGAAUUCAUUCUCGUGAAGAGAGUCUAUUUGUUAGGGGAAGAUCUGAAAAAAAAGAAUUCAACUUCCAUAACAAGAAGGGGAGAGGAACAUCUAAAAUGAGAUCCAAAUCUAAAGAUAAAAAUGGUAAGAAAUGUUAUCACUGUGGAAAGUUAGGACAUUUCAAGAAAGACUGCUUUGAUUGGAAAAUGAAACAAAAAGACCCGAACAAUUCUGAUGUUGAUAAUGCUGCUAUUGCUACUGAAUUUAAUAGUUUGCAUGUCAUGAAUGUGUCUGAAGAAGAAUUUGACAAAAAUUGGAUUCUUGACACAGGGUGCACUUUCCAUAUGUGCCCUGAUAGGUCUUGGUUUUAUAACUAUAGGGAGACUGAACCUAGGAAGGUCUACAUGGGAGAUAAUAAUUUCCAAAAUGUGAUUGAAAUUGGUGACAUAGCCAUCAGGAUGUACGAUGGGGCCGUCACGCAGCUUAGAAAUGUUAGAUAUAUCCCAAAUUUAAAGAGGAACCUCGUUUCCUUAGGUUCUCUGGAAGAUGAGGGAUAUACCUUCAAGUCUGGUGACAAGAUUUUGAAAAUUAUGAAGGGUUCUCUUAUAGUUAUGAAGGGGCCCAAGAGGAAUGGGCUGUACUAUCUUGAGGGUAGAACUGAAAUACCAUUUGAUUCUAGCCUUCUUGCUAUGAGUAAAGACAAAACUGAACUUUAGCAUAACAGAAUGGGUCACAUUGGGUUUAAAGGUCUAAAAUCUUUAAGUAAUCAGAAAUUACUUGGAAAAGAUGACAUUGAAACUAUGGAAUUCUGUGAAACUUGUCUUUUGGGUAAGUCUCAUAAGGUGAGCUUUGAAGCUAGCUCUCAUAGGACCAGCAGACCAUUGGACUAUGUCCAUGCUGAUCUAUGGGGCCCGGAGAAGCACUCCACAUUUGGUGGGAGCAAGUACUUCUUGUCUUUAGUGGAUGAUUACUCAAGAAAGGUUUGGAUUUAUCCUUUGAAGGCUAAGUCGGAAACUUUUGGAAAAUUCAGGAUUUGGUUAAAGUCUGUUGAGAAUCAGUUAGACAAGAAACUUAAAACGUUAAGAACUGAUAAUGGGCUUGAAUUCUGUAAUAGCGAAUUUGACAACUUCUGUAAGCAGAAAGGUAUAACAAGAUAAAGAACUGUUAAAUACACACCUGAACAAAAUGGGGUCGCUGAAAGAAUGAACAGGACCAUAAUGAACAAAGUUAGGUGUAUGUUGAUUAGCUCUGGCCUUGCGAAAGGUUUUUGGGCAGAAGCUGCAAGUACUGUAGCUUAUCUGAUUAAUAGGUCUCCGUCCAGCAGUAUAGGGUUUAAGACCCCACAGGAGUUGUGGACGGGAGAGCCUCCAAAUAUGGAACACUUGAGGGUGUUUGGAUGUGCUGCAUAUGCACAUCAAUCUGAAGGGAAACUUGAGCCCAGGGCUGUCAAGUGUGUGAUGUUAGGGUAUCCCGAGGGUGUGAAGGGCUAUAGGUUAUGGGUUUUAGGGGUCCAAGGCAUUAAGAUUAUUAACAGCAGGAAUGUAGUCUUUAAUGAAUCUGAGAUGCCAUGUCUAAAAC
Molecule: long non-coding RNA, 3391 nt
Filed under: Olea europaea subsp. europaea
Lineage: Eukaryota; Viridiplantae; Streptophyta; Magnoliopsida; Lamiales; Oleaceae
Source: RNAcentral